This 515-nucleotide ribosomal RNA is filed under the name uncultured bacterium. Its description in RNAcentral is "partial 16S ribosomal RNA". It matches the Rfam family "Bacterial small subunit ribosomal RNA", at positions 28 to 523 of the family's 1533-position model. The record is from RNAcentral.
GAUGAACGCUGGCGGCGUGCCUAAUACAUGCAAGUCGAGCGAAUGGAUUAAGAGCUUGCUCUUAUGAAGUUAGCGGCGGACGGGUGAGUAACACGUGGGUAACCUGCCCAUAAGACUGGGAUAACUCCGGGAAACCGGGGCUAAUACCGGAUAACAUUUUGAACCGCAUGGUUCGAAAUUGAAAGGCGGCUUCGGCUGUCACUUAUGGAUGGACCCGCGUCGCAUUAGCUAGUUGGUGAGGUAACGGCUCACCAAGGCAACGAUGCGAAGCCGACCUGAGAGGGUGAUCGGCCACACGGAGACUGAGACACGGCCCAGACUCCUACGGGAGGAAGCAGUAGGGAAUCUUCCGCAAUGGACGAAAGUCUGACGGAGCAACGCCGCGUGAGUGAUGAAGGCUUUCGGGUCGUAAAACUCUGUUGUUAGGGAAGAACAAGUGCUAGUUGAAUAAGCUGGCACCUUGACGGUACCUAACCAGAAAGCCACGGCUAACUACGUGCCAGCCGCCGCGGUAA